AGUGGGUGAAAAUAACAUUCCCUUCCCGGAGAAGUGGGACUUUGCACGUAAGUGUUAAACCCUUCUCGUGCCUUUUUAUUUCUAGGCUCGCUUAUUUUUAGUUUUACUUCUUUUUCUUUUCAACAGCCAUGGGCAUUGUGGAGUCUGUGCAGUUGGGUAGAAAAGUUGCUGAAAACUGCCCCAAUGGAGGGUAGAUCAUGGAAAACCCUUUUCAACAGUUAUGGUUGGAAAGUAAAGACUCAUGGUAAAGACUUCUAUUUCCACCUUAUCUAUAUUCAAAUACUUUUGUUGUUCUAACUUUCAUCCUUCUUUUUAUCAGGAUUUUCCAUUCGAUGAGUUACUCUAGAGACCACCUUGGUAUCCCGUGACCAUAAGUACUUGCACUUCUUCAGCCCAAGAUAUUAUAUAUAUCCUUUUAUAGGCCCUUUUGGGAAUGUACAUUAUGUCUAAGUCAUAAUGAGGCUAUUAUGAAUAAUUAGUGACAUUAGAUGUCACAUUACAUUAUAAUUACAUUGAAUGCAUAUAAUCCUUAACACAUUCAACAUUUAAUAUUGUUUAAUACCGUUUAAUACAGUAUUUGAAUGCAUAUAUUCCUUAACCAGAUUCAUUAUUUCCAUUGCUCGGAUGUGAAUAAGCUCAAACAAGGACGGUUGCCGAUACUCUCGCCCCGUGCCUCUUCCUUUCUCCUUACUCGUACCUGAUUUGUAAUUCUCAAGCCGUAGCUAAAUAUAAUUUAUUGAUCAUUCCACGUGUCCCAAUACGUCGUCAUAUGUACGAAUACAAUUUUUCCCAAUACAGUAAGGUAUUAGAGUUAGUUCCUUUUGAGUUGUAAUCUAAAAUUACUUAAAAAAAUUUCCAAUACAGAUAAUCCUCCCACUUUCCAUUUAUUCAUCAGUUUGAAUAUUUGGGAAGUGGAAUUCAUUAAAGGAGAAUUUGUGUCGUCAUUAAUGAUUUGACAGAGUUGACGCUUCAAUUGUCACUUUCUUUUAAUGCUCUAGGCACGUGUCAUUCUUUCAUUGGUUGCAUAAUUUUGCAGCACUUUCUUGGGCUUUCUUUUCGGCUUCACUGUUCACGAAGCGUCAGUAUCAUUAUUAUGGUUCUUUCAUUACCAUACUUUUCCGUUUUUGCUGGUUACCCAUUAGUAUAAAUAUAACUUCUUUUCGUGUCUUGUUUCGCAUAAAGCAUAUCAUACACUCUAAUCCUUCGAGACUUCUUUGCUAUUUUCUGCUUCACUUUAACUUUCUUUGCCAUGGCUUCACCAAAUCUUAACCCUAAGAGAACCCCCAUUCUGGAUAGCUUCCCUAAUGUUGCGAUUAGACAUGGAAGAGGGGGUAGACUCUGUAACCUUGGAUCUGCUCGUGGUGGUAGUACGUCAACUCCUUCUUCUAGAUCUGGUCCCUCUUCUAGGACUAAAGGUUCACAUUCUCAGAGGAGUUCAUCCCGGAAUAAAGAAUCUUCUGAGCCACUUUGUGAGCCUCUGGUUGAGGAAGUAAUCCCUUCUGAAAUUUCCUUUAAUCAUGAUAGAGAAUCUCUUAGGACCAACGUUGCUUCUUUAGACCGUGAUGAUCCUUUCCCUACUCAAAUCACGGAUAUUUUAGCUCCCUUAUUUCGUAAGGAUUGUUAUUGGCGUGAUGAUUUCCCAAUCAUCGUUCCUAAUUCAAAUCAGAGGAUCACAUCUUACUUAAUAGGAUUCUCUUCUGUUUACACAUACCCUUUUAAUCUA
RNAcentral lists this long non-coding RNA (1723 nucleotides) under Nicotiana benthamiana. Its description in RNAcentral is "long non-coding RNA (NBEN_LNC029487)". Lineage: Eukaryota; Viridiplantae; Streptophyta; Magnoliopsida; Solanales; Solanaceae. The record is from RNAcentral.